This is a long non-coding RNA of Polypterus senegalus (gray bichir), 771 nucleotides long. RefSeq lists it as uncharacterized. The record is from RefSeq and is a predicted model, not a curated record. The transcript has 3 exons. Lineage: Eukaryota; Metazoa; Chordata; Cladistia; Polypteriformes; Polypteridae.
CAUAAUUGGCAGAGAGCAGUUAAGCCUGCCAUUGUAUUCCGUGAACGUGACAGUAAGGACGCUAUAAGACGGUUUUAAAACACUUCAAAUUAAGCGUGGCGAGCAACAUCUUUCGCAGAGCCGAUUAGCCUCGAUGUCAGUGCAAUUUGUCAGUGUAUUGGAGCAUCACAAAACUUUUACAUACGUGGACAGAAAAGCCAGCAUCUAAGGGGUCCAAGGGCAGAGCAUUGACUGUUGAAAAAGGGAGCGGUUCCUGUGUUGUAUUAGUGGAACAAUUUCUCCAUUCCACUUACAAGACUUUGGGAGAGGAGGAAGCGACCGACACACCAGGGAAGGAUGAUGAAAUUUUUGAGGACCACGACUAUGCUUCUGCUUCUUGAAGAAAUCGUAUGUAUGAGAAGGGAGGUCCUCCAGCUGAGGAAACAAAUUGAAACCCUUACAAAGAAACAGCGGUUUGGCAUUCACUGUUGGCUCGGACAUACGCAUUUAUACAAGGAGGCUCUGUGGUUACGUGGCGGAGGUGAUGAGAGAAGGUGCUGGUCGGGCGGCUCCCAGACCGAACGCAUUGCGCUGUCCACCCGAGGCGGUGCUGAAGAGAGCUGGUCAGCGGCUGCCGCUUCUGUCGGGUAUGUGCUCAAUGAGUCGGACAUUCUAUACAAACAGAUUAAGAAAUCGAACGGAGGCUUCGUGUAAGUUUUUAAAGUGUCCCCCACUGUUAAGUACGGAGCGCGAGGCGUGUUGUUACGUAACCUCUGAGAAGGCGACGGACUG